This 253-nucleotide ribosomal RNA is filed under the name uncultured bacterium. RNAcentral's name for it is "partial 16S ribosomal RNA". It matches the Rfam family "Bacterial small subunit ribosomal RNA", at positions 524 to 776 of the family's 1533-position model. The record is from RNAcentral.
UACGUAGGAGGCGAGCGUUGUCCGGAAUCACUGGGUGUAAAGCGCGUGUAGGCGGCCUGCCAAGUCUGCUGUGAAAGCGCCUGGCUUAACCGGGCGAGGUCGGUGGAAACUGGCGGGCUGGAGGACGGUAGAGGGGGGUGGAAUUCCCAGUGUAGUGGUGAAACGCGUAGAGAUCGGGAGGAACACCAGUGGCGAAGGCGGCCCCCUGGGCCGUUCCUGACGCUGAGACGCGAAGGCGUGGGUAGCAAACAGG